UACGAAGGGUGCAAGCGUUACUCGGAAUUACUGGGCGUAAAGCGUGCGUGGGUGGUCUGUUAAGUCUGAUGUGAAAGCCCUGGGCUCAACCUGGGAAUGGCAUUGGAUACUGGCAGGCUAGAGUGCGGUAGAGGAUGGCGGAAUUCCCGGUGUAGCAGUGAAAUGCGUAGAGAUCGGGAGGAACAUCUGUGGCGAAGGCGGCCAUCUGGACCAGCACUGACACUGAGGCACGAAAGCGUGGGGAGCAAACAGG
RNAcentral lists this ribosomal RNA (253 nucleotides) under uncultured bacterium. Its description in RNAcentral is "partial 16S ribosomal RNA". It matches the Rfam family "Bacterial small subunit ribosomal RNA", at positions 524 to 776 of the family's 1533-position model. The record is from RNAcentral.